UACGUAGGGUGCAAGCGUUAAUCGGAAUUACUGGGCGUAAAGCGUGCGCAGGCGGUUUGCUAAGACAGGUGUGAAAUCCCCGGGCUUAACCUGGGAACUGCGCUUGUAACUGGCAAGCUGGAGUGUGGCAGAGGGGGGUGGAAUUCCACGUGUAGCAGUGAAAUGCGUAGAGAUGUGGAGGAACACCGAUGGCGAAGGCAGCCCCCUGGGCUAACACUGACGCCUCAUGCACGAAAGCGUGGGGAGCAAACAGG
Molecule: ribosomal RNA, 254 nt
Filed under: uncultured bacterium
Lineage: Bacteria
Description: partial 16S ribosomal RNA
Rfam family: Bacterial small subunit ribosomal RNA
Source: RNAcentral